Long non-coding RNA from Megalobrama amblycephala (Wuchang bream), 2024 nucleotides. RefSeq lists it as uncharacterized. The transcript has 6 exons. NCBI's taxonomy places the organism in Eukaryota, Metazoa, Chordata, Actinopteri, Cypriniformes, Xenocyprididae. The record is from RefSeq and is a predicted model, not a curated record.
GACUCGUUACAGAUGCUGGGCGGAUUCACUGACCGGACGCGCCUUUUUUUCAACUGUCGUCGUCACUGAAUCCUUCUCCUCACCGUGGAAAAGCUGGAGCCGGCAGGUCGGUGAAGACUAAACACGCUUACAGCUCAUUCAAGUGCCGCCAGUGUGUUUUUGGAGUAUUUCUUCUUUCUAUUUCAUCUUUCAUCUGAGGAAACUUACAGCUCAUUCAAGUGCCUCCAGUGUGUUUUUGGAGUAUUCUUCUUUCUAUUUCAUCUUUACCAAACGUCUGAGGAAAAUCAUUAUUUCAUAUCAUAGAGAGGAAAUGUCAUUGCUCCCUACGUAGGCCUCACCGAGCCAUGAGAUUCAAUCAAAAUAUCUUAAUUUGUGUUCUGAAGAUGAACGAAGGCAUUACGGGUGUAGAACGACAUGAGGGAACAUCCUUUCCCGCAUUCAACCAGAUGGAGUCCAAGAAGUUCCUCCUGUGUGCUGUGAGAAAGAACCAUGUAUCACGUACCGCCACUGAUGAAGACAUUACAAAACACAAUACGAUGGUUCAGCCUGGCAGCUGAUAGGGGAAGCUCCAGGAACCGUCCCACUGUGAGCACCCAACAGUAGAGUUUCAGAGUAUCAUUGGCUACGUUUACAUGCACCGAUUUUCAUCAAUCUGAAUUAAUUGAAUCUGAUUGCAGAUCUGUUUACAUUGUAAUCUGAUUCAAAUAUCCGCUUAUAUUUGUUUUAUAUACAUUCCGAUUAAAACUUUGACGUCAUAUCAAUCACACUUGCGGUAAACCAGGUUGCGUCAACAGAGUCAGAGAUAUUGUCAAAUGCAGCAAAUCUUGGCAAUAUUAAGAGGAUUUGGUAUUUCCAAUUAAUGUAGGCCUGUUACAUACUUCUAGUCUAUUAUUAUUACUAUUAGGUUAGGCUUCUUUCUUUUAUUAUUAAAUUAAUAUUAUAAUAAAUUUGCCCCACAAUUUCAUAGCGCAUCGCCGCAUAACUGACGUGCUCUGAGGAUAAUAUAACUUAUAAGAUUAGGCUAUUAGCUAUCUUUGAAAAUGAUUUAAACUUUUUUUAGGUCUUAUACAAUGAAUUAUAGGCCUAUAAUUAAAGUUAUUAAGAAUGUCAAUGAAAAUUAAGCGCAGCUUUACUUCAAGCACUGACUUUAAAAAACAAACCACCUGUUUAACACGAAAUACUAUUAUUCUCAUUUGUUUCACUAGCCUAUAUGUACGGCCACAAGUGAAAUAAUGGAAUAAAUUUAGACAGUUACAUAGGCUACCGUUAUCAGCAUUUUAUGUUGAAAUUUGUCUCUGAGAAUAUGCUGUGUUAAUGCAGCGUCAGACAGCUCUGUCACUUUUUACUUUCACUUUUUGUGGUGAAUACUGACCGAGUUUGAGGCUUUUUCAUCAGCAUAACUCUUGCGCAAAGUUUGGACGUUGCUUCUUGUGUGAUAUCCACUGGCUCCCCGUCUUGUCUUAAAACGGAAGAUUUCCAAUAUUGUGACGAAGGGAUACAUACGCCACUGCCUGUUGACAUACAUCUUUACAACUAAAGACGUGAACGUUAACUUUAAAUGCGUGUCAGCAUUGCACUGUUGUGCCCCAGAGGCUUCUGAAUACUAUUGAGAAAGUAGUCGGAUUCAAGUGUUUACAUGGUUAUUUUUUGCUGUUUGAUCGGAUUAGAAAAGGAAUAAACCACCCCUUCCAAUCCGAUCGAAAUUUCAUUCAGAUCGAUUGAGGUGUUUACAUGAACGUUUUUCAAUCCGAUUGAGCAGUCAAUCCGAUUACAAAUGGAUUAUUUGGGUGCAUGUAAACGUAGCCAAUGUUAACUUCAGUAUUUUGAAGUGUUCAUUUAAAAUCGCAACAGUUACAAUAAAAUAAAGAAGGUUCAAGUUUAUUUUUAAAUAAAUGUUUUAAUUGUUUUUAUUUCUAUUCAAAGAAUCUAAAAAAAAAAAAAAAUCCAGUUUCUACAAAAAAAUGAAGCAGUACAACUGUUUACAACAUUAAUAACAAAAAUGUUGCUCGAAUAUUUACUCUUAA